This is a long non-coding RNA of Osmerus eperlanus (European smelt), 455 nucleotides long. RefSeq lists it as uncharacterized. The transcript has 3 exons. The record is from RefSeq and is a predicted model, not a curated record. Lineage: Eukaryota; Metazoa; Chordata; Actinopteri; Osmeriformes; Osmeridae.
UGCAGUUUGGGCAGCAGGUCUUUCACCCAAUCAUAGCGGAUGGGGCACACCGUUCUAACGUAGAUUCGUGAAGUGACCAAAACAUCAUGGAAGAUGAUCCAGUCUAGCAUCUCCUCUUGGUCGAAGAGCUGGGACACAAGAUGACGCAGGAUGAAUGUGGACCAUGGAUCCAUGACCAUCCAUGGUGCAGAAUACCUUCCCAACAGAUCUAGGACGAGGGAAAUAUUUGAGAAAGUUUCACAGAGGAAUAUGAUAUGAAUCCGGGUCAUAAAAAACAACAAGUUCAUAUGUGAAUCCACGUUGGGAUACACUUAAGAAUACCUGUUGGAGUCGAAGCAGGAUCUCCCUGAGCUGGGUCUCUAUGCUGAAGGACGACUUGAGCGCCCUCCAGUGGAUCCAGUUAUCUUUGCACCAGGCUGAGGGGUUGUCACUGCAACACAUGAUGACAUGACAAA